GGGAAAUGGGAACAGGGCUUGGGAAAAGAGCCAUCCCAAGCCCAAAGCCAAGUAGGCUCA
This is a non-coding RNA of Felis catus (domestic cat), 60 nucleotides long. The record is from Rfam. NCBI's taxonomy places the organism in Eukaryota, Metazoa, Chordata, Mammalia, Carnivora, Felidae.